UUGCAGUGUUUGGCCACAUUUACUGAAGGU
This 30-nucleotide non-coding RNA is filed under the name Mus musculus (house mouse). Lineage: Eukaryota; Metazoa; Chordata; Mammalia; Rodentia; Muridae. The record is from RNAcentral.